UGGGGAUCUGCCAGAAGAGGGGGAUAACCACUGGAAACGGUGGCUAAUACCGCAUAACCUCGCGAGACCCAAGAGGGGUACCUUCGGGCCUCUCACUAUCGGAUGAACCCAGAUGGGAUUAGCUAGUAGGCGGGGUAAUGGCCCACCUAGGCGACGAUCCCUAGCUGGUCUGAGAGGAUGACCAGCCACACUGGAACUGAGACACGGUCCAGACUCCCACG
Molecule: ribosomal RNA, 221 nt
Filed under: uncultured Pantoea sp.
Lineage: Bacteria; Pseudomonadati; Pseudomonadota; Gammaproteobacteria; Enterobacterales; Erwiniaceae
Description: partial 16S ribosomal RNA
Rfam family: Bacterial small subunit ribosomal RNA
Source: RNAcentral